Long non-coding RNA from Nothoprocta perdicaria, 205 nucleotides. RefSeq lists it as uncharacterized. NCBI's taxonomy places the organism in Eukaryota, Metazoa, Chordata, Aves, Tinamiformes, Tinamidae. The record is from RefSeq and is a predicted model, not a curated record. The transcript is spliced from 2 exons.
ACCACACUCUGUCUAAGAACAGCAAAGUGCUGAAGCUAGUAUGUGAAUCUAAGUGCUGAAGCUAGUAUGUGAAUCUGGACUGCAUAGUUUCAAAAGAACAACACAGGCCUGACAAAAGAUACGUAUUUAUAUCAAAACCUUCUUUCUCUGGAAGAUAAUCCCACUGGCAGAGAGAUCAGGCCACACCAAUGUCUUAAAGGCUGGA